AUGAAUCCCAACGAAAACCCGCACCCACCGCACCCAACAAUGUGUUUAGCACCCACCGCGUCGUCGAAGCCAACCAAGUCGGGUGGAGGCAAGCAGAAGAAGUGGAGCAAGGGCAGGCAAAAGGAGAAGGUGAACAACACGGUGAUCUUCGACCAGGACACCUACGACAAGCUGCUCACCAAGGUGCCCAAGUACAAGCAGAUCACGCCCUCCGUCCUGUCCGAGCGACUCAGGAUCAAUGGGUCGCUGGCUCGCAGGGCCAUCAAGGACCUAAUGGAGAGGGGACUCAUCAGGAUGGUGUCAAUCCAGUCCAGCCAGCAGAUCUUCACCAGGGCGACAAACACUGCCACCAGUCAUGUUAAUAUUCAGCUGUAUUUUAUAGUUGAAUAG
RNAcentral lists this ribosomal RNA (390 nucleotides) under Triticum aestivum (bread wheat). RNAcentral's name for it is "partial small subunit ribosomal RNA". The record is from RNAcentral. Lineage: Eukaryota; Viridiplantae; Streptophyta; Magnoliopsida; Poales; Poaceae.